UUACCUUUUCAGGUUUCAGGCAGGAUCUGAGGCAUGUAACAAUGUUUCCUCCAGAACUGAGCUAGUGGCUGGUGUGCAGAGAUACUUUUUUGCCACCUCACUUAGAUUGGGGAAGUGUACAUGAUGCUUUCCCCACCAUUCCAGUGGGUUUUUCUCCCUAUCCAGCAUGGGGGACACCAAGUAGCUGCUCAGCUCUGCUUCUAGUUUUUGCUGAAGUGACACAGUGGGUACAGUUGCAGUUGCCUCACUUCCUUUGAAAAAACUUCCUAAUGACCUCUUUGGCUUCUUUGCUUCUGAUGAAGACGUAGAGGGCUGUGUACUCUCAGUGGUACUUUCCCUGCAGCCGGCAGCUGCUGACACCAUCUCUGUUUUCACUUUCUCCUGAAUGGUGGCGACAUGGUGCGCAGAAAUGUAUGUUGUUUUAAAUCUGGGAUCAACAAAACUGGCGGUGUCCAGUAGCUCUUCUGUGAUGGGGUCUGAGUACUUCCCCUUAAGGUAUGCAAGGAUACUGGUUUUGAUUGUUUUGGUCAGCUCCACGUCAUCUUCCUCCUCGGCCAGCACUUGUGAAUUGAGGAUGUGUAGGACAGGCUUCACAAAUGAAACGGUCACAUAGUCUUGACAGAGCAUUUGUGAACUCCAUCAAUGGGGAAAGAGCUCUGUUGAUAGCCUCCAAGACAUCCAGGUCAGCCCAAGAUGGAAUAAGGCUGUUUUUAGCUUGUGUUGAGGCAGGCUGAGCUCUUGUUGCGCCUUCCCUAAUGCCUUCUUCUUCUUGCAGCUAUAGGAAAAGGCAUUGACUAUGUUUUUGCACACCCUCAUUGCUCGCACCACACGUUGAUCUUUCAUUGCAUUUUCUGAAAUAAACACACACACACAAAAGAAUAUAAGAAUAUUAAAUUAUUGAUGGUUUCAGAGAUUUACAAACUGUAGCUCUAACAAAAUGUAUACAAGAGAAAUGCCUUAUUAAUCUGAUAUUAUUUAAGUAGUUUAAUAACACAUCUACAGCUUUUUUUAAUUUCUACUCUAACGAUGACUUAAUGUAGCGUUUUGUUACAUUGUAAUGUGAGGUUUACAUUGUUUUAUUGUUGUCACAGUAUUUAUUUAGUGUGCUGAAGGACAAUUAAUAUUGAUAUAGCACCCCUUUAAACACAUGUAACAAAGUGAUUCAGCACAGAAAAGAAAAAACACAAGUCAUAUAAAAAACAUUUAGACGUUAAAAUGUACGAUCUAAACAAAUAAAGAAUAUAGCAGCCCGUCACCACCCACAAAUUCCCAACUAGAUUGAAUAUCAUAGCAUUGGUGCACUUACCGACUGCCAGGUGCAGCCUGUGUCCAAAACACUGCUGCCGUGUCCAUCCAUUGAGCUGUGCAGCUUCGUUGUCUGUCGUAAUGGCCACGAGGUUCUCUUCUGUUAGUUCCCACGCAGAAAGCAUAUCUCUCAGGCCCUGCGCAAUCAUCUCUGACGUGUGAUCGACUGGAAAAUAUGCUGUCUCAAGGCACCUGUUGCGCAGCUUCCAUUCAUCGUCAAUGUAGUGCAAUGUAAGGCUCCAAUAUGGGUCCAUCGUCCUACUUGACCACAGAUCAGAUGUGGCUGCAAAGUGCUUAACAGCCUUAAGUUCAGCAGCUACUUUUUUACGACACGUUUGGUACAUGUUGGGCAGCGCGGUUUGGG
Molecule: long non-coding RNA, 1669 nt
Organism: Sander lucioperca (pikeperch)
Lineage: Eukaryota; Metazoa; Chordata; Actinopteri; Perciformes; Percidae
Exons: 2
Source: RefSeq, a predicted model, not a curated record